RNAcentral lists this ribosomal RNA (525 nucleotides) under uncultured Glomeromycotina. RNAcentral's name for it is "SSU rRNA". It matches the Rfam family "Eukaryotic small subunit ribosomal RNA", at positions 571 to 1098 of the family's 1831-position model. The record is from RNAcentral. Lineage: Eukaryota; Fungi; Glomeromycota.
CAGCCGCGGUAAUUCCAGCUCCAAUAGCGUAUAUUAAAGUUGUUGUGGUUAAAAGCUCGUAGUUGAAUUUCGGGGUUAGUAGGUUGGUCAUGCCUCUGGUAUGUACUGGUCUCACUGAUUCCUCCUUCUUUAUGAACCGUAAUGCCAUUAAUUUGGUGUUGCGGGGAAUUUGGACUGUUACUUUGAAAAAAUUAGAGUGUUUAAAGCAAGCUAACGCUUGAAUACAUUAGCAUGGGAAUAAUGAAAUAGGACGUUCGAUCUUAUUUUUGUUGGUUUCUAGGAUUGACGUAAUGAUUAAUAGGGAUAGUUGGGGGCAUUAGUAUUCAAUUGUCAGAGGUGAAAUCCUUGGAUUUAUUGAAGACUAACUACUGCGAAAGCAUUUGCCAAGGAUGUUUCAUUAAUCAAGAACGAAAGUUAGGGAUCGAAGACGAUCAGAUACCGUCGUAGUCUUAACCAUAAACUAUGCCGACUAGGGAUCGGAUGAUGUUAAUUUUAUAAUGACUCAUUUGGCACCUUACGGGAAAC